AUUGCUUCUUGGCCUUUUGCCUAAGAUCAAGCAUCAAUUCACUUUAAUAUUGGAUACGUCCUCUAUCCGAGGACAAUCUAUUAAAUGGCUUUUGGAGCUGGGAGGUGGAAUAGGAGCUUGCUCCAUCCACUAUGCGCAUCGACCUGGUAUUGUAAUGCCUCCAAGAACAGUAUACUCCCA
Cavia aperea (Brazilian guinea pig) is the source of this 180-nucleotide small nuclear RNA. Its record names the gene U2. It matches the Rfam family "U2 spliceosomal RNA". From Rfam's summary of the family: U2 is a small nuclear RNA (snRNA) component of the spliceosome (involved in pre-mRNA splicing). Complementary binding between U2 snRNA (in an area lying towards the 5' end but 3' to hairpin I) and the branchpoint sequence (BPS) of the intron results the bulging out of an unpaired adenosine, on the BPS, which initiates a nucleophilic attack at the intronic 5' splice site, thus starting the first of two transesterification reactions that mediate splicing. Lineage: Eukaryota; Metazoa; Chordata; Mammalia; Rodentia; Caviidae. The record is from Ensembl.